CCUACGGGCGGCAGCAGUGGGGAAUAUUGCACAAUGGGGGAAACCCUGAUGCAGCGACGCCGCGUGAGCGAAGAAGUAUUUCGGUAUGUAAAGCUCUAUUAGCAGGGAAGAAAAUGACGGUACCUGAGUAAGAAGCUACGGCCAAAUACGUGCCAGCAGCAGCGGUAAUAUGUAAGGAGCAAGCGUUAUCCGGAUUUACUGGGCGUAAAGGGGGCGUAGGCGGGUUUCCAGGUCUGAUGUGAAAUAGCGGGGCUCAACCCCGGGGGUGCAUUGGACACUGGCAGGCUGGAGUGCAGGAGAGGCAGGCGGAAUUCCUAGUGUAGCGGUGAAAUGCGUAGAUAUUAGGAGGAAAACCAGUGGCGAAGGCAGCCUGCUGGACUGUGACUGACGCUGAGGCUCGAAAGCGUGGGGAGCAAACAGGAUUAGAUACCCCAGUAGUC
Molecule: ribosomal RNA, 440 nt
Filed under: uncultured bacterium
Lineage: Bacteria
Description: partial 16S ribosomal RNA
Rfam family: Bacterial small subunit ribosomal RNA
Source: RNAcentral